AUUCCAUUAUGAAGGAAUUUCCAUAAUAAAUACUUAAAUCAUUUUCAUGCCUCAUACAAGGACUCAUCAUCGGAUUGCUAGAACAUAGUAAUUUCAUUUCUAAGUUU
Gossypium raimondii (Peruvian cotton) is the source of this 107-nucleotide small nucleolar RNA. It matches the Rfam family "Plant small nucleolar RNA R71". Rfam says of the family: R71 is a member of the C/D box family of snoRNAs containing the C (UGAUGA) and D (CUGA) box motifs. Multiple nearly identical copies of this snoRNA have been identified in Arabidopsis, and it is thought to function as a 2'-O-ribose methylation guide for 18S ribosomal RNA. The record is from Rfam. NCBI's taxonomy places the organism in Eukaryota, Viridiplantae, Streptophyta, Magnoliopsida, Malvales, Malvaceae.